Molecule: ribosomal RNA, 400 nt
Filed under: uncultured bacterium
Lineage: Bacteria
Description: bacterial SSU rRNA
Rfam family: Bacterial small subunit ribosomal RNA
Source: RNAcentral
CUAAGAAUCUUCCGCAAUGGGAGCAAUCCUGACGGAGCGAUGCCGCGUGGACGAAGAAGGCAGAAAUGUUGUAAAGUCCUUUUAUAUGGGAAGAAUAAAGCAUAUAGUGGAAAGAUAUGAAGAUGACGGUACCAUAUGAAUAAGCUACGGCUAACUACGUGCCAGCAGCCGCGGUAAUACGUAGGUAGCGAACGUUGUUCGGAAUUAUUGGGCGUAAAGGGCAUGUAGGCGGUUUAAUAAGUGUGGAUUUAAAUACCGGAGCUUAACUCCGUGUAUGGUCUGCAAACUGUUGAACUAGAGUACAGAAGGGGAGAGUGGAAUUCCGCGUGUAGGGGUGAAAUCUGUAGAUAUGCGGAAGAAUACCGGUGGCGAAGGCGACUCUCUGGUCUGUGACUGACGC